Molecule: long non-coding RNA, 2503 nt
Organism: Oncorhynchus nerka (sockeye salmon)
Lineage: Eukaryota; Metazoa; Chordata; Actinopteri; Salmoniformes; Salmonidae
Exons: 3
Source: RefSeq, a predicted model, not a curated record
GUGAUGCAGUUGCACACUAUUGCAAUCUCACCUGUGCUGUGCUACAUUUUUACGUUUUUAGUCAUUUAGCCGACGCUCUUAUCCAGAGCGACUUAAAGUUAGUCAAUUCAUCUUACGAUAGCUAGGUGGGACAACCACAUAUCAAAGGCAUUAGUCUGUAGCAGUUUGGGUCGGGAGUGUCUCCCCCUUUGAAGAGGGGGAUGAUCGCGGCAGCUUUCCAAUCUUUGGGAAUCUCAACAGUGAUGGAAAGCUCAGGAGGAGGUACCAGGUGAUGACCCCAACUACCUGCCUGUGGAGGUUGGAGACUGUAAAAAUCCGGGUCCACAAAAGAAAAUAUAACCAGCCAAGGUCAAUGGGGCCAUUCAAGGUAACCAUGGCAACACAAACGGCGGUCAGAGUUCAGGAAAGGUCCGGCUGGCACCACCUGUUCCACUGCCAGAAGGUGUUCAGCCCACAGGAGAUGAUGGAGCCAGAUACAGCCUGAAAUAAGAGGAAGAAGCAAAUGUGAGUCGAGACCAAAUACUUGAAAAAGAUGAAGGGCAAGACCAAAGCCCUGAAGAACCAACUGUUUUAAAUGUUGUAAAUAACCAAACCCUUAGGGGGAAUAAGAGAGGGAAGAUGACCGCAUGUGGUCAUUGGUAGUUGACUGUUUUGGCUCUAUCCACACUACUUGUUUGUGGGGGUGAAGCCGGCCCUGUCAACACGUGGGUAAAGUUUGUUUGAGACUUAGGUAGAAAUGUGUCCCCAAACGGGACUGCAGUGUUAAUUUUGUCUAAACCCAAAUCCAUGAGAGAGUUGUUUGGUUAAAUGAGUGAUUAAUAUGAUGCCAUUGGUGUUGACCCCAACUAUGACCCUCUUGCUUGCCCAACUGACCCAGAGGAUGAUUACUAUACUACCUAUAUGUGAAUGGUUAAAAGUUCCAGAUGUCUAAUGUCGAUUUCUGUACAUGGUUAUAUGAGACUAGGUAGUCUCAAAGGGGGGAAUGUUGGGGUUUACCCUGUGGGUUGGGUGAGGGGCUACACCAAUGCCAUGAUUACUGUAUAUAUGUGAUAACAUUUGUAUGCUUGCAAUGCGCAAUGAUGGAAAAGUACUGGGUAAAUGGAGAUGUACUGCUUUAGUUCUCAGGCUGAGAAUUGUCUACACCUGCUGAUAGUCACACAGGCUAAAGGCCGAGAUAGCAGAGUGAGAAACCACAGUCUAAACAUGUUUUUCUCAUCUUAGUUACUUUGUAUCUAAUCCAAUGUAACAACGUUAAGGUAUGAUUGACGGUAGGUUGUCCACGCCCACUAGUAUAUGGAGCUUUGUCUCCUGUCUCGCCUCACAGAUCUUUACUAUAAACUACUGAGGUAUUCUGUAUGUGAAUCUCUGUCUGCAAUUACAUUUUAUUAUGAAAGAGUUGUAUACCAAGGUUCCCGUGUCUGUGUCAUCUAUCUGGAAGACUGAUUGUUAAAGGAAACUUACAUCACCCCAUGCAAAGGACCAACCAACAGCGCUUCAGCACUCGGCUGUCCCGUUCUGUGAGCCUGUGUGGCCUACCACUUAGCGUCUGAGCCGUUGUUGCUCCUAGAUGUUCUACUUCACAAUAACAGCACUUACAUUUGACCGGGGCAGCUCUAGCAGUGCAGAAUCCUAUGACAGCGCCACUUUGAAAGUCACUGAGCUCUUCAGUGAGGCCACUCUACUGCUAAUCUAUGGGGAUUGCAUGGCUGUGUGCUCCAUUUUAUACACCUGUCAAAAACGGGUGUGGCUGAAAUAGCCGAAUCCAGUCAUUUGAAGGGGUGUACACAUGCCUUUGUAUAUAUAGUGUUGCUACUGAAGUAACAUGACUGAACAAGGUGUAGCUAAACAAAUGGUUAACGGUCUGGUCUGCAAGUAGCCUAGUUUUAGAACUCCCCGCGAUAUGCCUUAUGAAUGUAAAAUGCAGCCCGCCAAUGCACAAUAGGGUAAUGUCUUUUGAACUAGAAUCAAUACGUUUUCUCUAAGGUGAAGAGGGAGACUUGGCUAUGCUGGAUACAGAACCUGUAUAUGAAAUGCAGUGGGAAAAGUGGGAGGUUUGAGUGAGACUACAAACUACUUUUCUAUAGCCUACUCAGGGGAGAGAAAAACAUAGCUAGACUGUUGGUUUACUAUUAAACUCAAUGCUACUGUUGUUUUUAAUUGUGUAAAGCAUCAACUUGUGUUUCUUAACCAGGCAAACGGUAGCUAACUAGAAGGCUGGUGGUGACUAUGGCUAUUUUCCACUACAGGCUGUUCCGUGCAGUGAAUAUCAUAGUUCCUAUUUCAUUCCCACUUGCCCAUGGCCUUAUCCGGUUCAGUAGGCUGGUGGGUGGGGUUACAAAUGGCCGUACUCAAUGAUUGGUCUCAUGCAAAGAUAUCAGUCUCGCUCGCGUAUGUUGGUCAUACUCAUGCAGGAGUCACAAGUCAUUUGAUCAAUUUAGGGGUUUAGGGCCCCAUAAUAAUUAUGACUUUGCGGAUGUGUUAACUAACUUUGUGGCUGUGUUAA